UUUUUAAUAGAUUUGUAAAUAAAGGUAUUUCUGUUUUUUUUAAUAGAUUUGUAAAUAAAGGUAUUUCUGUUUUUUUAAUAGAUUUGCAGAAAUGUAUCUAAACCUGUUUUCACUCUGUCAUCAUGGGCUAUUGUUUAAGCGUUGUGAGGAUUAUUAUUUUAUUUUUAAAAUCCAUUUUAGAAUGAGGCUGAAUAAUACUUUCUGAAAGCACUGAAUACCUGGAUAACCAGACGUCUAAGGUCACCUGGAUAACCAGACGUCUAAGGUCACCUGGAUAACCAGACGUCUAAGGUCACCUGGAUAACCAGACGUCUAAGGUCACCUGGAUAACCAGACGUCUAAGGUCACCUGGAUAACCAGACGUCUAAGGUCUCGACUCGCUAGUUAAUCAGUUAUAUGAAUGGAUCAGUUAAGUACCACGGAGAGAUGAAGUGGCAGGACUGUGUAGUACUAGUUGUAGCUGGGGUGUAGAGCCCUCAGUUGUCCAUCCCUACUAGGGUUGCAAAACUCCAGGAACUUGUUUUUCCAGACAUCCUGGUUGGAGGAUUCACAGAAUCUGAAGGGAUGAAGAAGGACAUCUGGACCCCUCAACCAGGAUGUCUGGAAAACCAGGGAAUUUAUUGAAAGUUCCUGGAGUUUUGCAACCCUUUCCCUUCUCUAAGUAGACAUGGCAUGUACUCUACAUCAUCGGUAUUUGGUCUCUAAAUCCAUGAACUGAGGGAAUACUAAGAAUUCCAUUCUUAUUGUGUUUCAUACACAGUUUUUAUUUGUUGUAUUUGGGUCGUAUGUCUUCAUGUGCACAAUGUGGUUUUUUGUUUUUAUUGGUCCAAACUAAAUAUACUGUAAGUCUA
Molecule: long non-coding RNA, 851 nt
Organism: Oncorhynchus tshawytscha (Chinook salmon)
Lineage: Eukaryota; Metazoa; Chordata; Actinopteri; Salmoniformes; Salmonidae
Exons: 2
Source: RefSeq, a predicted model, not a curated record